Molecule: ribosomal RNA, 468 nt
Filed under: uncultured bacterium
Lineage: Bacteria
Description: partial 16S ribosomal RNA
Rfam family: Bacterial small subunit ribosomal RNA
Source: RNAcentral
GACGAACGCUGGCGGCGUGCUUAACACAUGCAAGUCGAACGGAAAGGCCCUGCUUUUGUGGGGUGCUCGAGUGGCGAACGGGUGAGUAACACGUGAGUAACCUGCCCUUGACUUUGGGAUAACUUCAGGAAACUGGGGCUAAUACCGGAUAGGAGCUCCUGCUGCAUGGUGGGGGUUGGAAAGUUUCGGCGGUUGGGGAUGGACUCGCGGCUUAUCAGCUUGUUGGUGGGGUAGUGGCUUACCAAGGCUUUGACGGGUAGCCGGCCUGAGAGGGUGACCGGCCACAUUGGGACUGAGAUACGGCCCAGACUCCUACGGGAGGCAGCAGUGGGGAAUAUUGCACAAUGGGCGGAAGCCUGAUGCAGCAACGCCGCGUGCGGGAUGACGGCCUUCGGGUUGUAAACCGCUUUCGCCUGUGACGAAGCGUGACUGACGGUAAUGGGUAAAGAAGCACCGGCUAACUACGUG